RNAcentral lists this long non-coding RNA (539 nucleotides) under Homo sapiens (human). RNAcentral describes it as "HSALNT0048787". The record is from RNAcentral. Lineage: Eukaryota; Metazoa; Chordata; Mammalia; Primates; Hominidae.
CUCUUUGUUCCACCCCAAACUGCUUUGGUAGUGUUAAGUUUUAGUAAAAGAGUGAAGGCGUUUUCUAGCCAAAUAACCUGGAGAACCUGCUAAUCUAGAAAUUCCUCUUCAUCUUUUUUUUUUUUUCCUGCAAAUGACAAGAACAAGUUAAUUUUUUAUUUCCCUUUUGCAGAAUAUCUGAUCAGAACAUCAUUCCCUCAGUAACUAGGUCUGUGUCCGUGCCAGAUACUGGCUCUAUCUGGGAGCUUCAGCCAACAGCUUCACAGCCUACAGUUUGGGAAGGUGGUAGUGUAUGGGAUCUUCCUCUGGACACCACGACACCAGGCCCUGCCCUGGAACAGCUUCAGCAGCUAGAGAAGGCCAAAGCUGCAAAGGUCUGAAACUCAUUCUUCUGCAACAGUGCAUUGUCAUCUGGCUGCAGGACAUAAACAUUGCUGUUUAUUCAUCUCUCUAGCUAGCUAUGCUUUUUACUUUCAGUUUACUGCUGCUUAGCUGGUAUAAGUACAUUCAUAUUGUAUCUUUACUGUGCUCUCUUCUCC